Bufo bufo (common toad) is the source of this 304-nucleotide long non-coding RNA. RefSeq lists it as uncharacterized. The record is from RefSeq and is a predicted model, not a curated record. The transcript has 3 exons. Lineage: Eukaryota; Metazoa; Chordata; Amphibia; Anura; Bufonidae.
CUCAGAGAUGCACAAUCUCAGUCUCCAGUAGACCCUGGUCUUUUCUUAAAUGCCGGAAUGCCUGUGUGAUCCCGUAUGGACAGAAGGAACUGUAAGAUGCUGAUCAUACAAGAUAUGGCGGAUUACCUGAGAACAUCCAUCUUGAUGGCCUGCCAGCUGUUCUCCGGGCUCACUGAUUACUCAUCCUUCUGUAAUUACCUCGGCUGACUGCAGGGUAUCAAUUAAAUAAAUCUCUCAGCAAGUUUGGGAAUGGGUUAAUCCUGGAGUCUAGAGCACAAAGGAUAUACAAAGCAUAUUUCUAUGU